AGAGUUUGAUCAUGGCUCAGAUUGAACGCUGGCGGCGUGCCUAACACAUGCAAGUCGAGCGGUAACAGGUGUAGCAAUACAUGCUGACGAGCGGCGAACGGGUGAGUAAUGCUUUGGAAUCUUCCCAGUAGUGGGGAAUAACCAGUCGAAAGAUUGGCUAAUACCGCAUACGUCUGUAAAGGGAAAGCGGGGGCUCGUAAGACCUCGCGCUAUUGGAUGAGCCAAAGUCGGAUUAGCUAGUUGGUGGGGUAAUGGCCUACCAAGGCGACAAUCCGUAGCUGGUCUGAGAGGACGACCAGCCACACCGGAACUGAGACACGGUCCGGACUCCUACGGGAGGCAGCAGUGGGGAAUAUUGGACAAUGGGGGAAACCCUGAUCCAGCGACGCCGCGUGUGUGAAGAAGGCCUGCGGGUUGUAAAGCACUUUUAGUGGGGACAAAAAGCUACGGAUUAAUACUCUGUGGUCUUGAUUUAACCCAAAGAAAAAGCACCGGCUAACUCUGUGCCAGCAGCCGCGGUAAUACAGAGGGUGCGAGCGUUAAUCGGAAUUACUGGGCGUAAAGCGCGCGUAGACGGUUUUGUAAGUCAGAUGUGAAAUCCCUGGGCUCAACCUGGGAACUGCAUUUGAUACUGCAUGGCUAGAGUAUCGAAGAGGGAAGUGGAAUUUCCGGUGUAGCGGUGAAAUGCGUAGAUAUCGGAAGGAACACCAGUGGCGAAAGCGACUUCCUGGUCGAAUACUGACGUUCAUGUGCGAAAGCGUGGGGAGCAAACAGGAUUAGAUACCCUAGUAGUCC
Molecule: ribosomal RNA, 795 nt
Filed under: uncultured bacterium
Lineage: Bacteria
Description: bacterial SSU rRNA
Rfam family: Bacterial small subunit ribosomal RNA
Source: RNAcentral